UUAUUCGAGUUUGAUCCUGGCUCAGAAUCAACGCUGGCGGCGUGCCUAACACAUGCAAGUCGAACGCGAAAGCCCGCAAGGGUAAGUAGAGUGGCGCACGGGUGAGUAACACGUGGACAACCUGCCUUCGAGUGGGGAAUAACCUUCCGAAAGGAGGGCUAAUACCGCAUAACACCUCGGGACACAAGUUCUGGGGUUGAAAAGAGCAAUUUGCUCGAAUAGGGGUCCGCGCCUGAUUAGCUAGUUGGUGAGUUUAAUAGCUCUUCUCCGAUUAAUAUUUCAUCUCAUGAUGUGACUGAAAUGGAUAACAUGUGUACUGGCUCCUCGUUGAGGAUGUACGGCUGGAAGUUUUUUUUGGUGAAUUGCCCCCCUCUGGCGUCUUGGCUUUUGCGGUCUAUUACUCAGUUUUCUUGUUCAGUACAAGCUCUCA
Molecule: ribosomal RNA, 430 nt
Filed under: uncultured Acidobacteriota bacterium
Lineage: Bacteria; Pseudomonadati; Acidobacteriota
Description: bacterial SSU rRNA
Rfam family: Bacterial small subunit ribosomal RNA
Source: RNAcentral